Molecule: unclassified non-coding RNA, 282 nt
Filed under: fungal sp.
Lineage: Eukaryota; Fungi
Description: partial internal transcribed spacer region
Rfam family: Eukaryotic small subunit ribosomal RNA (bases 1-46)
Source: RNAcentral
AAGUCGUAACAAGGUAACCGUAGGUGAACCUGCGGUUGGAUCAUUUACGAUCUGCACCCUGACAAAGGGUCGAUCUACCUCUGUGCACCGUAGUACCGUACUUGGCGGCUGGGUCGUAUUCCGACCCGACGUUGUGGGGUUGGGUCAGAUGUCUCGCGAUGUCGCGACCCUUCCACCGACGUAUGCCGUCUGUCCAUACAAACAUCUUACACUUUUGACUGAUCAUCCGUCCAAUCGACGUAAAAAUAAAAACAACUUUCGACAAUGGAUCUCUUGGCUCUC